ACUUGUUGAAAACAGAUUUCUGGGACAACAUCAGACCCAGUGAAUUGGAAUUUCUAAAGAUAGGAUCUUGAGAAGCUACAUUUUUAUUCCAGCUGAUUCUUAUCAUCAAGCAAGUUUGGGCAAUAGCCUGACAAGGAAGCUAAUGAGUAAAGUGUAGGACUACCCUGAAGAGAGAAGUUAGGGACUUAAUAAAUCAGAGUGGCCUGAUAACACAUUACCCACAUGGAGACUCAGGACCUGACCAGUGUUCUGGACAGUCCUAGCCGACUGGAUGAGGAACACCGUCUUAUAGCUCGCUAUGCUGCCCGGCUGGCUGCAGAAGCAGGAAACGUGACUCGUCCUCCCACUGACUUGAGCUUUAACUUUGAUGCCAACAAACAACAAAGACAGCUUAUUGCAGAACUGGAAAACAAAAACAGAGAGAUCCUGCAGGAGAUUCAGCGUCUCCGCCUGGAACAUGAGCAGGCCUCCCAGCCCACCCCUGAGAAGGCACAGCAGAACCCCACACUGCUGGCAGAGCUGCGGCUGCUGAGGCAAAGGAAGGAUGAACUGGAGCAGAGGAUGUCGGCCCUGCAGGAGAGCAGGCGGGAGCUGAUGGUCCAACUAGAAGAGCUGAUGAAGUUGCUGAAGGCUCAGGCCACAGGGUCACCACAUACAUCGCCCACCCAUGGAGGCGGCCGGCCGAUGCCCAUGCCAGUGCGCUCUACGUCUGCCGGCUCCACCCCCACCCA
Molecule: small RNA, 731 nt
Filed under: Pongo abelii (Sumatran orangutan)
Lineage: Eukaryota; Metazoa; Chordata; Mammalia; Primates; Hominidae
Description: retained intron
Source: RNAcentral